UACGUAGGGGGCGAGCGUUGUCCGGAAUUAUUGGGCGUAAAGCGCGCGUAGGCGGCUGGUUAAGUCCUGUGUGAAAGACCACGGCUCAACCGUGGGGGUGCACGGGAAACUGGCCGGCUUGAGUGCAGGAGAGGGGAGCGGAAUUCCCGGUGUAGCGGUGGAAUGCGUAGAGAUCGGGAGGAACACCAGUGGCGAAGGCGGCUCCCUGGCCUGUAACUGACGCUGAGGCGCGAAAGCGUGGGGAGCGAACAGG
RNAcentral lists this ribosomal RNA (253 nucleotides) under uncultured bacterium. RNAcentral describes it as "partial 16S ribosomal RNA". It matches the Rfam family "Bacterial small subunit ribosomal RNA", at positions 524 to 776 of the family's 1533-position model. RNAcentral also lists the same sequence under 1 other name. The record is from RNAcentral.